UAACAUACCUUGUUUUAUCCAGGCUGAGUGUGAAGAGCUACAGGCAAGAGUAGAGACGCAAAACAACGAGAACCACUCACUCAGAGAUGAACUACAGAGGCUUUCUGAGGAAUGUGGGAAGCUUACAGCUGAGAAUGAUUCAAUAAAGGAUGAAUUAACCAGGUUUUUUGGACCUAAAGCUGUUUCGAAACUCGAUGCACAUCUUCAAUCUCGAACGAACGAAGGUGAAAGUUGAUAUCAUGACAACAAGUUACUUAUUAAGCUUAUACAAUUAGGUCAACAACCAUUUCCGAGUUAUCAAAAGGAAUCGACUUUAGGAUCUGAUUAAGGAAGUGCAGCACUCUUAUACACUCCAUAACCAAGGUUAUUGCGACAUUG
Molecule: long non-coding RNA, 378 nt
Organism: Helianthus annuus (common sunflower)
Lineage: Eukaryota; Viridiplantae; Streptophyta; Magnoliopsida; Asterales; Asteraceae
Exons: 2
Source: RefSeq, a predicted model, not a curated record